UUAUGAUCACAUUUUGGUGAAUGGGCCCACAUGCCCAAAACAAAAAGAUAGCCACUUUCCUCUGUUAAAAAAAAUCAAUUUGAAAUAUAAAAUAGAAUGGAUUAAUAGAGUAAAAUAUCUCUCCCAAAGACCUUGUAAGUAGCAAUGAUCCUGGGACAUUUUUCUUAUUAAUGAGUGAUGAAGCGAAUAAUUAGAUUUCCUAAUUAUGGGGGCCCAGGUGUAAUGGAUUCAAAGCAAACGCGCUGGAUUGGAAUGGCAGGGCCUCUCCUGGAUGUUAUACUUAUUUAAUCAAAUAAUUAAUCAUCAACAGGGAGUUUCCAGGCUCGGGGUCGUCAAGGAUAACCUAUCGAGGUUUUAGAGGUAAACCCUACAAACUGAGUUUCCCUCGCUCCCCGCCGAGGAGCCAGGCAGCGGAGUGCAUAGAGGGGAAGGUAGCAACGUGCUGACUGACAACUUAAUCCUCCGAAUUCGCGGGGAAUUCGGUAGAUCAUCCGCGUCGCUGCGAGCAGUUUUGUGGGGUUUGGGGAAAAGGGUGAAGUGACUCUGCUAUUUCCCCCUUUCGUCUCCCGCGUGGACACUCGCAGCCUACCAACUUCAGCUUCGAAACUCGUCUCCCUUUUCCCAGGUUUCCUUGCACCCUUCCUGGCUGUUCAUCGGCUGCGUAUUCGAUUCUCAGCAAAAGGAUGUUGAGACAACCCACCAGGCCUCUUCGCUUCGGCCUCUUCGCUUCGGGGAGGCGACUAGAAGGCAAUGGGGCGUGCCACUUAUUUCCAAUAAAAGAACAGAAGACGAAAAUGUAGAUGCAUUAUCUUUGUCUCCUGAUCAAUUCAAAGCCAAAGGGAAGCUACAAAUCAGGUUCCUUUACCUUGAAUAUUCCACUUCUGAAACAUUGUUUUUAUGAGUAUUCUGGGCUCUUUUUCUAACCUGAUCCUUUUUCUUCUUUCUUUGAAACAAAGUAAAAUAAAGCUGCCCAGUUCUCAGCUCACAGGCAAAUGAUUUGAGCUUUCUGCCCCAACCCUAAACUCCCAC
RNAcentral lists this long non-coding RNA (1029 nucleotides) under Homo sapiens (human). RNAcentral's name for it is "HSALNT0234937". Lineage: Eukaryota; Metazoa; Chordata; Mammalia; Primates; Hominidae. The record is from RNAcentral.